RNAcentral lists this ribosomal RNA (225 nucleotides) under Bacillus sp. (in: firmicutes). RNAcentral describes it as "Bacillus sp. (in: Bacteria) partial 16S ribosomal RNA". It matches the Rfam family "Bacterial small subunit ribosomal RNA", at positions 230 to 454 of the family's 1533-position model. The record is from RNAcentral. Lineage: Bacteria; Bacillati; Bacillota; Bacilli; Caryophanales; Bacillaceae.
CCCGCGGCGCAUUAGCUAGUUGGUGAGGUAACGGCUCACCAAGGCGACGAUGCGUAGCCGACCUGAGAGGGUGAUCGGCCACACUGGGACUGAGACACGGCCCAGACUCCUACGGGAGGCAGCAGUAGGGAAUCUUCCACAAUGGGCGAAAGCCUGAUGGAGCAACGCCGCGUGAGUGAAGAAGGAUUUCGGUUCGUAAAACUCUGUUGUAAGGGAAGAACAAGU